Molecule: long non-coding RNA, 281 nt
Organism: Serinus canaria (Common canary)
Lineage: Eukaryota; Metazoa; Chordata; Aves; Passeriformes; Fringillidae
Exons: 3
Source: RefSeq, a predicted model, not a curated record
CUCUGUGCAUGAGUACAGCUAAAGAAUUUCGCUCUGACACAUCAACAAUUCUGCAGUAUGGAAAGCCCCUUUACUUUUUGGGAAACUCAAAUCUUUAUGACAGAAUCUGUAUCUUAAGAUGUGCCUCACAAAUAGCUGUAUAAGUCGAAUUCAUACCUGUAUGGAGAAAGAAAUGUAAGAGAAAGAAGAAUCAUUGUACACUAAGGAUCUUGUGCAGCCUAUUACAAGUACAGCUACAUGUACAGCAGAACUGAGCCUCUGGAGCUAUAUGCAGCUUUGAA